This 291-nucleotide long non-coding RNA is filed under the name Capra hircus (goat). Its description in RNAcentral is "lncRNA (ENSCHIG00010002292.1)". Lineage: Eukaryota; Metazoa; Chordata; Mammalia; Artiodactyla; Bovidae. The record is from RNAcentral.
GUGGGCGGAUAGAGAUCACCACUCCCUCACAGUUUCAGAUGUAAGCUGCCAUGCUGUGAAAGGUCCUGUGAAGAAGGGCAUCAAAAUGUGAGUAGCCUCCAGGAUCUGAGAACCAGAUGACAGCCAGCAAAAAAUGGUCAUCUCAGUCCUACAAGCACAAGUGAUUGGAUUUUGCCAAUAACUAAAUUUAUGAGGUAAUACCAAACUUCAGAAAGGAAUACGGCUUUGCUAUACUUAUAUUGCUUCUUUCUGAGACCCUGAGCACAGGACCCGGUUUAAAUAAGACUCAGG